UGCAAGUCGAACGAAAAGAGGGAAAGAGCUUGCUCUUUCCGGAAUUGAGUGGCAAACGGGUGAGUAACACGUAAACAACCUGCCUUCAGGAUGGGGACAACAGACGGAAACGACUGCUAAUACCGAAUAAGUUCCAAGAGCCGCAUGGCCCAUGGAAGAAAAGGUGGCCUCUACCUGUAAGCUAUCGCCUGAAGAGGGGUUUGCGUCUGAUUAGCUGGUUGGAGGGGUAACGGCCCACCAAGGCGACGAUCAGUAGCCGGUCUGAGAGGAUGAACGGCCACACUGGAACUGAGACACGGUCCAGACUCCUACGGGAGGCAGCAGUGGGGAAUCUUCCGCAAUGGGCGAAAGCCUGACGGAGCAACGCCGCGUGAGUGAUGACGGCCUUCGGGCUGUAAAACUCUGUGAUCCGGGACGAAAAGGCAGAGUGCGAAGAACAAACUGCAUUGACGGUACCGGAAAAGCAAGCCACGGCUAACUACGUGCCAGCAGCCGCGGUAAUACGUAGGUGACAAGCGUUGUCCGGAAUUAUUGGGCGUAAAGCGCGCGCAGGCGGCUUCCCAAGUCCCUCUUAAAAGUGCGGGGCUUAACCCCGUGAUGGGAAGGAAACUGGGAAGCUGGAGUAUCGGAGAGGAAAGUGGAAUUCCUAGUGUAGCGGUGAAAUGCGUAGAGAUUAGGAAGAACACCGGUGGCGAAGGCGACUUUCUGGACGAAAACUGACGCUGAGGCGCGAAAGCGUGGGGAGCAAACAGGAUUAGAUACCCUGGUAGUCCACGCCGUAAACGAUGGAUACUAGGUGUAGGAGGUAUCGACCCCUUCUGUGCCGGAGUUAACGCAAUAAGUAUCCCGCCUGGGAAGUAC
Molecule: ribosomal RNA, 861 nt
Filed under: uncultured bacterium
Lineage: Bacteria
Description: bacterial SSU rRNA
Rfam family: Bacterial small subunit ribosomal RNA
Source: RNAcentral